RNAcentral lists this unclassified non-coding RNA (399 nucleotides) under Hevea brasiliensis (rubber tree). The record is from RNAcentral. Lineage: Eukaryota; Viridiplantae; Streptophyta; Magnoliopsida; Malpighiales; Euphorbiaceae.
GUUUCCCAUCACAAUCGUCUUCUUCGUAGUUUCAUAAGAAAAAAAUAUAUAUCUUGGGAGUCCGAGGCUUAGGCUAAGGCAAAACUUCUGCAAGAACUGGCUAACUCUCAAGGAAUUCUGGAGGAAGAAGAUUCCGGUAAUCAAAGGGUGGUUCUCGCCCUAUAUGAGGCCUUAAGCUCUCGAAACGUGAACACCGUUCACCAAAUCCUCGCUCCUGAUCUCGAGUGGUGGUUCCAUGGUCCGCCGUCUCACCAAUUUCUGAUGCGCCUUCUUACUGGAGCUUCAUCCAACGGCCAAUCUUUUCAAUUCGUUCCUCAAUCAAUCACAUCCUUCGGCUCCACUGUCCUCGUCGAAGGCUGCGAUCCUAGCCGUUCAAUCUCCUGGAUCCACGCUUGGACU